GAUGAAGAACGUAGCGAAAUGCGAUAAGUAAUGUGAAUUGCAGAAUUCAGUGAAUCAUCGAAUCUUUGAACGCACAUUGCGCCCCCUGGUAUUCCGGGGGGCAUGCCUGUUCGAGCGUCAUUUCACCACUCAAGCCUCGCUUGGUAUUGGGCAACGCGGUCCGCCGCGUGCCUCAAAUCGACCGGCUGGGUCUUCUGUCCCCUAAGCGUUGUGGAAACUAUUCGCUAUAGGGUGUUCGGGAGGCUACGCCGUAAAACAACCCCAUUUCUAAGGUUGACCUCGGAUCAGGUAGGGAUACCCGCUGAACUUAAGCAUAUCAAUAAGCGGAGGA
RNAcentral lists this unclassified non-coding RNA (331 nucleotides) under soil metagenome. RNAcentral's name for it is "partial contains 5.8S ribosomal RNA, internal transcribed spacer 2, and large subunit ribosomal RNA". The stretch from base 1 to 120 matches the Rfam family "5.8S ribosomal RNA", at positions 35 to 154 of the family's 154-position model. The record is from RNAcentral.